GUUUGAUCCUGGCUCGAAUGAACGCUGGCGGCAGGCCUAACACAUGCAAGUCGAACGGAGUUAUAUUGUAGCUUGCUAUGGUAUAACUUAGUGGCAGACGGGUGAGUAAUGUAUAGGAAUCUACCUAGUAGUACGGAAUAAUUGUUGGAAACGGCAACUAAUACCGUAUACGCCCUACGGGGGAAAAAUUUAUUGCUAUUAGAUGAGCCUAUAUUAGAUUAGCUAGUUGGUGGAGUAAUAGCCUACCAAGGCAAUGAUCUAUAGCUGAUCUGAGAGGAUGAUCAGCCACACUGGAACUGAGAUACGGUCCAGACUCCUACGGGAGGCAGCAGUGGGGAAUAUUGGACAAUGGGCGAAAGCCUGAUCCAGCCAUGCCGCAUGAGUGAAGAAGGCCUUUGGGUUGUAAAGCUCUUUUAGUGAGGAAGAUAAUGACGGUACUCACAGAAGAAGUCCUGGCUAACUCCGUGCCAGCAGCCGCGGUAAUACGGAGAGGGCUAGCGUUAUUCGGAAUUAUUGGGCGUAAAGGGCGCGUAGGCGGAUUAGUAAGUUAAAAGUGAAAUCCCAAGGCUCAACCUUGGAAUUGCUUUUAAAACUGCUAAUCUAGAGAUUGAAAGAGGAUAGAGGAAUUCCUAGUGUAGAGGUGAAAUUCGUAAAUAUUAGGAGGAACACCAGUGGCGAAGGCGUCUAUCUGGUUCAAAUCUGACGCUGAGGCGCGAAGGCGUGGGGAGCAAACAGGAUUAGAUACCCUGGUAGUCCACGCUGUAAACGAUGAAUGUUAAAUAUGGGAAGUUUUACUUUCUGUAUUACAGCUAACGCGUUUAACAUUCCGCCUGGGGACUACGGUCGCAAGAUUAAACUCAAAGGAAUUGACGGGGACCCGCACAAG
RNAcentral lists this ribosomal RNA (886 nucleotides) under uncultured bacterium. Its description in RNAcentral is "bacterial SSU rRNA". It matches the Rfam family "Bacterial small subunit ribosomal RNA", at positions 11 to 929 of the family's 1533-position model. The record is from RNAcentral.